Molecule: long non-coding RNA, 322 nt
Organism: Cololabis saira (Pacific saury)
Lineage: Eukaryota; Metazoa; Chordata; Actinopteri; Beloniformes; Belonidae
Exons: 3
Source: RefSeq, a predicted model, not a curated record
ACCCCUAAAACCGGCUCCGGGACAGACAGUGGGGAGGCCACAGCAGCCUCAUGGCCUUUCUACAAAGAGAUGCAUGAGGUUUUGGGGUCCAGACCUUCAAUCCAGCCUCCAUGUUUGUUGGCGUCUUAUGAAGAUCCCACGCAAAUACUCAUGAACAUAAUCGACCCUCCAUCCUCACCGGUGUCCUCUCUGACAAAUUCAGAGGAAAGCACAGAGAACACUUUGGAAGACGCCAGCACAUCGGCCUCAAGCUCUGCCUCACCAGCUGGAAGAGGAAGCUGGAAGCUUCAGGCAUCAGGUCCACUUUCCCCCCGAUCCCCCA